UGAGGAACAUGACCUUCGGCGGGGGAUAGCCGGCCCAACGGCCGGGUAAUACCGCGUACGACCACAUGGGGACAUCCCUGAGUGGUGAAAGCAGCAAUGCGCCGAUGGAGUGCCUCGCGGCCUAUCAGCUAGUUGGUGAGGUAACGGCUCACCAAGGCGACGACAGGUAGCUGGUCUGAGAGGAUGGCCAGUCACAUUGGGACUGAGACACGGCCCAGAUCCUACGGG
Molecule: ribosomal RNA, 228 nt
Filed under: uncultured bacterium
Lineage: Bacteria
Description: partial 16S ribosomal RNA
Rfam family: Bacterial small subunit ribosomal RNA
Source: RNAcentral